UUUCCGUAGUUGAACCUGCGGAAGGAUCAUUAUUGUAUAACCGAGGUGCGAGGGCUGUCGCUGACCCGAAAGGUCGUGCACGCCCGAGUGCCCUCACACACAUCCAUCUCACCCCUAUGUGCACCACCGCGUGGGUCCCCCUUUGGCUUGUUCGGAGGGGGGCUUACGUUUUCACACAAACUUUGUAUGCAGUGUAGAAUGUAUUUUUUGUUUUUGCGAUCACGCAAUCAAUACAACUUUCAACAACGGAUCUCUUGGCUCUC
RNAcentral lists this unclassified non-coding RNA (263 nucleotides) under plant metagenome. RNAcentral's name for it is "partial contains small subunit ribosomal RNA, internal transcribed spacer 1, and 5.8S ribosomal RNA". The record is from RNAcentral.